This 256-nucleotide ribosomal RNA is filed under the name Novosphingobium sp. RNAcentral describes it as "partial 23S ribosomal RNA". It matches the Rfam family "Bacterial large subunit ribosomal RNA", at positions 2653 to 2925 of the family's 2925-position model. Lineage: Bacteria; Pseudomonadati; Pseudomonadota; Alphaproteobacteria; Sphingomonadales; Sphingomonadaceae. The record is from RNAcentral.
GUUGGAGAGUUGAGAGGAGUCGUCUCUAGUACGAGAGGACCGAGAUGAACGGACCUCUGGUGUAGCUGUUGUUCUGCCAAGGGCAUCGCAGCUUAGCUACGUCCGGACGGGAUAACCGCUGAAAGCAUCUAAGCGGGAAGCCUCCCUCGAGAUUAGAUUUCAUAGAGUCGUGGUAGACCACCACGUUGAUAGGCCGGGUGUGGAAGCGCAGUAAUGCGUGAAGCUAACCGGUCCUAAUAACUCUAUUCGCGCUUGA